AUACUUACCUGGCAGGGGAGAUACCAUGAUCAUGAAGGUGGUUCUCCCAGGGCGAGGCUCAUCCAUUGCACUCCGGAUGUGCUGACCCCUGCGAUUUCCCCAAAUGCGGGAAACUCGACUGCAUAAUUUCUGGUAGUGGGGGACUGCGUUCGCGCUUUCCCCUG
RNAcentral lists this small nuclear RNA (164 nucleotides) under Xenopus laevis (African clawed frog). Its description in RNAcentral is "U1 spliceosomal RNA". It matches the Rfam family "U1 spliceosomal RNA". Rfam says of the family: U1 is a small nuclear RNA (snRNA) component of the spliceosome (involved in pre-mRNA splicing). Its 5' end forms complementary base pairs with the 5' splice junction, thus defining the 5' donor site of an intron. There are significant differences in sequence and secondary structure between metazoan and yeast U1 snRNAs, the latter being much longer (568 nucleotides as compared to 164 nucleotides in human). Lineage: Eukaryota; Metazoa; Chordata; Amphibia; Anura; Pipidae. The record is from Rfam by way of RNAcentral.